GAUGAACGCUAGCGAUAGGCCUAACACAUGCAAGUCGAGGGGCAUCACAUGAAGUAGCAAUACGGAUGGUGGCGACCGGCGCACGGGUGAGUAACACGUAUGCAACCUGCCUUCAACAAGGGGAUAACCCGUUGAAAGACGGACUAAUACCCUAUAACACAGGGGUCCCGCAUGGGAAUAUUUGUUAAAGGACAACCGGUUGAAGAUGGGCAUGCGUUCCAUUAGCUAGUUGGCGGGGUAACGGCCCACCAAGGCAACGAUGGAUAGGGGGAACUGAGAGGUUUAUCCCCCACACUGGUACUGAGACACGGACCAGACUCCUACGGGAGGCAGCAGUGAGGAAUAUUGGUCAAUGGACGCAAGUCUGAACCAGCCACGUCGCGUGAAGGAAGACGGCCCUACGGGUUGUAAACUUCUUUUAUACGGGAAUAAAGUGCCCCACGCGUGGCCUUUUGCAAGUACCUUGCGAAUAGGAUCGGCUAACUCCGUGCCAGCAGCCGCGGUAAGU
RNAcentral lists this ribosomal RNA (508 nucleotides) under uncultured bacterium. RNAcentral's name for it is "bacterial SSU rRNA". It matches the Rfam family "Bacterial small subunit ribosomal RNA", at positions 28 to 525 of the family's 1533-position model. The record is from RNAcentral.